This 120-nucleotide small nucleolar RNA is filed under the name Echinops telfairi (small Madagascar hedgehog). Its description in RNAcentral is "Small nucleolar RNA SNORA70 (ENSETEG00000025730.1)". It matches the Rfam family "Small nucleolar RNA SNORA70". Rfam says of the family: snoRNA U70 seems to be exclusive to mammals and is a member of the H/ACA class of snoRNA which contain H (ANANNA) and ACA box motifs. H/ACA box snoRNAs are involved in the conversion of uridines to pseudouridines (5-ribosyluracil) a constituent of structural RNAs (transfer, ribosomal, small nuclear, and small nucleolar). The record is from RNAcentral. Lineage: Eukaryota; Metazoa; Chordata; Mammalia; Afrosoricida; Tenrecidae.
UUGAAUUAAAAGAGAAAAUCCUCCUCCAUGUGGGGGCUGGUGUGCCAUGGCUGCAAACAGCAAGCCUCCUCGGUGGUGUACUCUGCCUGUUGGCUGCCUUAACACACCUUGGAGACAACC